GUGCUGUACGGUGUACAUUUUAGGACAUCGUCAGGUAUCAGAAAAAAAAUUGUCAGGUGUCAGUUGUCAAAAAAAAAAUUGUCAGGUAUCAGAAAAAAAAUUGUCAGGUGUCAGUUGUCAAAAAAAAAAAGUCAGGUAUCAGACAAAAAAUUGUCAGGUGUCAGAAAAAAAGUUGUCAGGUAUCAGAAAAAAAAUUGUCAGGUGUCAGAAAAAAAGUUGUCAGGUGUCAGAAAAAAAAUUGUCAGGUGUCAGAAAAAAAAUUGUCAGGUGUCAGAAAAAAAGUUGUCAGGUGUCAGAAAAAAAAUUGUCAGGUGUCAGAAAAAAAAUUGUCAGGUGUUAGAAAAAAAAUUGUCAGGUGUCAGAAAAAAAGUUGUCAGGUGUCAGAACACAAGGUACCAGAGAGAAAAUCUUCCUGCAGGUGGCGCUGUUGUCAUGUCCCACCCGAAUUGAUUUCCAAAUACGUCAUCAACGUGUGACCGUGGGAGAGCGUAAGGUCAUUGACCUCACCGGAGUUUUACCGUGGUUCAGGCUCCUAACGACACAAGGUAAGUUUAACUUUUUCUCCCUUUUGUUCAUAUUUUUGCCACAGUUGUGUUAUAUUAAGUUGCAGUUAUGUUGUGAAAGUUACAUAUCAGAGACGGAAAGCCAGUUUUGUACGAAACCAAAUCAGUACUAUUUUUGUCUGGCUAAUUCAUUCUAGCUAGCGACAGUGGUGAAACGUGAUUCAAAUUUAAACUGUUCAGUAAUUGUUUUGUAUACAUUUCAGCAAAUGGACAAGCUGAAAGCUUACGAGCAGCUUAAAAAAGACCUUGAAAAUGGUAAUCCAACACUUUAUUAAACUUUUUGGUAAUGC
Molecule: long non-coding RNA, 853 nt
Organism: Astatotilapia calliptera (eastern happy)
Lineage: Eukaryota; Metazoa; Chordata; Actinopteri; Cichliformes; Cichlidae
Source: Ensembl